Molecule: ribosomal RNA, 396 nt
Filed under: uncultured bacterium
Lineage: Bacteria
Description: partial 16S ribosomal RNA
Rfam family: Bacterial small subunit ribosomal RNA
Source: RNAcentral
AUACGUAGGUGGCAAGCGUUGUCCGGAUUUAUUGGGCGCAAAGCGAGCGCAGGCGGUUUCUUAAGUCUGAUGUGAAAGCCCCCGGCUCAACCGGGGAGGGUCAUUGGAAACUGGGAGACUUGAGUGCAGAAGAGGAGAGUGGAAUUCCAUGUGUAGCGGUGAAAUGCGUAGAUAUAUGGAGGAACACCAGUGGCGAAGGCGACUCUCUGGUCUGUAACUGACGCUGAGGCUCGAAAGCGUGGGGAGCAAACAGGAUUAGAUACCCUGGUAGUCCACGCCGUAAACGAUGAGUGCUAAGUGUUGGAGGGUUUCCGCCCUUCAGUGCUGCAGCUAACGCAUUAAGCACUCCGCCUGGGGAGUACGACCGCAAGGUUGAAACUCAAAGGAAGUGACGGG